Molecule: ribosomal RNA, 998 nt
Filed under: uncultured bacterium
Lineage: Bacteria
Description: bacterial SSU rRNA
Rfam family: Bacterial small subunit ribosomal RNA
Source: RNAcentral
GGGGAAUAUUGCACAAUGGAGGAAACUCUGAUGCAGCGAUGCCGCGUGAGGGAAGAAGGUUUUAGGAUUGUAAACCUCUGUCUUCAGGGACGAAAAAAGACGGUACCUGAGGAGGAAGCUCCGGCUAACUACGCGCCAGCAGCCGCGGUAAUACGUAGGGAGCGAGCGUUGUCCGGAAUUACUGGGUGUAAAGGGAGCGUAGGCGGGAUCGCAAGUCAGAUGUGAAAUCUAUGGGCUCAACCCAUAAACUGCAUUUGAAACUGUAGAGCUUGAGUGAAGUAGAGGCAGGCGGAAUUCCCCGUGUAGCGGUGAAAUGCGUAGAGAUGGGGAGGAACACCAGUGGCGAAGGCGGCCUGCUGGGCUUUAACUGACGCUGAGGCACGAAAGCGUGGGUAGCAAACAGGAUUAGAUACCCUGGUAGUCCACGCUGUAAACGAUGAUUACUAGGUGUGGGGGGUCUGACCCCUUCCGUGCCGGAGCAAACGCAAUAAGUAAUCCACCUGGGGAGUACGACCGCAAGGUUGAAACUCAAAGGAAUUGACGGGGGCCCGCACAAGCAGUGGAGUAUGUGGAUUAAUUCGAAGCAACGCGAAGAACCUUACCAGGUCUUGACAUCGUAUGCAUACCUCAGAGAUGAGUGAAAUCUCUUCGGAGACAUAUAGACAGGUGGUGCGUGGUUGUCGUCAGCUCGUGUCGUGAGAUGUUGGGUUAAGUCCCGCAACGAGCGCAACCCUUACUGUUAGUUGCUACGCAAGAGCACUCUAGCAGGACUGCCGUUGACAAAACGGAGGAAGGUGGGGAUGACGUCAAAUCAUCAUGCCCCUUAUGACCUGGGCCUCACACGUACUACAAUGGCUGUCAACAGAGGGAUGCAAAGCCGCGAGGUGGAGCGAACCCCUAAAAGCAGUCUUAGUUCGGAUUGUAGGCUGCAACCCGCCUACAUGAAGUCGGAAUUGCUAGUAAUCGCAGAUCAGCAUGCUGCGGUGAAUACGUUCCCG